This 465-nucleotide ribosomal RNA is filed under the name uncultured Klebsiella sp. Its description in RNAcentral is "bacterial SSU rRNA". It matches the Rfam family "Bacterial small subunit ribosomal RNA", at positions 338 to 795 of the family's 1533-position model. Lineage: Bacteria; Pseudomonadati; Pseudomonadota; Gammaproteobacteria; Enterobacterales; Enterobacteriaceae. The record is from RNAcentral.
CCUACGGGUGGCUGCAGUGGGGAAUAUUGCACAAUGGGCGCAAGCCUGAUGCAGCCAUGCCGCGUGUGUGAAGAAGGCCUUCGGGUUGUAAAGCACUUUCAGCGGGGAGGAAGGCGGUGAGGUUAAUAACCUCAUCGAUUGACGUUACCCGCAGAAGAAGCACCGGCUAACUCCGUGCCAGCAGCCGCGGUAAUACGGAGGGUGCAAGCGUUAAUCGGAAUUACUGGGCGUAAAGCGCACGCAGGCGGUCUGUCAAGUCGGAUGUGAAAUCCCCGGGCUCAACCUGGGAACUACAUUCGAAACUGGCAGGCUAGAGUCUUGUAGAGGGGGGUAGAAUUCCAGGUGUAGCGGUGAAAUGCGUAGAGAUCCGGAGGAAUACCGGUGGCGAAGGCGGCCCCCUGGACAAAGACUGACGCUCAGGUGCGAAAGCGUGGGGAGCAAACAGGAUUAGAUACCCGGGUAGUG